This is a non-coding RNA of Mus musculus (house mouse), 276 nucleotides long. The record is from Rfam. Lineage: Eukaryota; Metazoa; Chordata; Mammalia; Rodentia; Muridae.
UGACGGUUGGUUUGGCUGAUCUGGAAGCUGGACAAAUGUUCUCUUCCUCCCUCUACAUUCUGUACACGUCCCUCUUGAAGCUGGACACUCAGAAGAGGACUAAUUGCCCCAAACACAGCAGGGCCAGCAUCCAGUCAAGGGCACACAAAUGGCUGCUCUCUCCUGUUAGAACCUCCGAACGGUUCUCAAAGAGGGGCGGGCACAAAGUCUAUCUGAAUUACACUAAGUACUGAUCAUGUUGACCCAUUCGUUUUGUUGAAAUGUUGGGUAGUCCAU